AUUGAACGCUGGCGGCAUGCUUUACACAUGCAAGUCGAACGGCAGCACGGGAGCAAUCCUGGUGGCGAGUGGCGAACGGGUGAGUAAUAUAUCGGAACGUGCCCAGUAGUGGGGGAUAACUGCUCGAAAGAGCAGCUAAUACCGCAUACGACCUGAGGGUGAAAGGGGGGGGAUCGCAAGACCUCUCGCUAUUGGAGCGGCCGAUAUCAGAUUAGCUAGUUGGUGGGGUAAAGGCCUACCAAGGCAACGAUCUGUAGUUGGUCUGAGAGGACGACCAGCCACACUGGGACUGAGACACGGUCCAGACUCCUACGGGAGGCAGCAGUGAGGAAUAUUGCGCAAUGGAGGAAACUCUGACGCAGCGACGCCGCGUGAAGGAUGAAGGCCCUCUGGGGUUUGUAAACUUCUGUAGAGAGGGAAGAAUUUUCGCCUUCGGCGUAAUUGACGGUACCUCUAAAGUAAGGGUCGGCUAACUACGUGCCAGCAGCCGCGGUAAU
RNAcentral lists this ribosomal RNA (497 nucleotides) under uncultured bacterium. RNAcentral's name for it is "bacterial SSU rRNA". It matches the Rfam family "Bacterial small subunit ribosomal RNA", at positions 30 to 524 of the family's 1533-position model. The record is from RNAcentral.